AUUGAACGCUGGCGGCAUGCCUUACACAUGCAAGUCGAACGGUAACAGGUCUUCGGAUGCUGACGAGUGGCGAACGGGUGAGUAAUACAUCGGAACGUGCCUAGUAGUGGGGGAUAACUACUCGAAAGAGUGGCUAAUACCGCAUGAGAUCUACGGAUGAAAGCAGGGGAUAGCAAGACCUUGUGCUACUAGAGCGGCCGGUGGGAGAUUAGGAAGUUGGUGGGAUAAAAGCUUACCAAGCCGACGAUCUGUAGCUGGUCUGAGAGGACGAUCAGCCACACUGGGACUGAGACACGGCCCAGACUCCUACGGGAGGCAGCAGUGGGGAAUUUUGGACAAUGGGCGCAAGCCUGAUCCAGCAAUGCCGCGUGCAGGAUGAAGGCCUUCGGGUUGUAAACUGCUUUUGUACGGAACGAAAAGCCCUGGGUUAAUACCCUGGGGUCAUGACGGUACCGUAAGAAUAAGCACCGGCUAACUACGUGCCAGCCGCCGCCGUAA
Molecule: ribosomal RNA, 498 nt
Filed under: uncultured bacterium
Lineage: Bacteria
Description: partial 16S ribosomal RNA
Rfam family: Bacterial small subunit ribosomal RNA
Source: RNAcentral